Molecule: long non-coding RNA, 1456 nt
Organism: Vespa velutina
Lineage: Eukaryota; Metazoa; Arthropoda; Insecta; Hymenoptera; Vespidae
Exons: 3
Source: RefSeq, a predicted model, not a curated record
UUUUUACUAAUAAUAAUAGUAACUUAUAUUUUUUGGAAUGAAAAGAGUAUGUUCUUGUUAGAAGGAAAAAAGAAAAAUGAUAAAAGGAAGACGUAAUAUAAAAAUCGUUUUGGUGUCUUUCUCUCUCUCUCUCUCUCUCUCUCUCUCUCUCUCUCUCUCUCUCUCUCUCUAUCUAUCUAUCUACGCAUGCGGCAUUGAUACGUUAAUUAGUUUGGCCCUGGAUCCAGUAGGGAUUGAAAGAUACUCAUGCCAUCUAAUAUUCGCUUCUACUAUGAAAAUAGAAAAAAAGAGAGAUAAACGGAGAGAGUAAAAUAUAUGUAUAGUACGAGUAAAUAUAGAUAUACAUAUUACAUAAUGUUAAAACUUGUUAUCGCUACCGAGUCAUGCAGAAAGUGUCUCUUCUGGUAUAAGAUAUAAACAAGGAGAGAAGAAGAAGUAUAAGAAAGAAAAAAACAAAAAAAGAAAAACAGAAACGAAAACAAAAGGAAGGAACGAAUGUUGAAAAACGAAGAUAUAUCGUAAACGAAGGUCAUCAGAGAGGCAUACCGAAAGACACGGUAGUAACGAAGAGACCGUGGUGGUUAAUGCACGUCGUCCUUUCGUUCGUUCGUCCGUUUGUCCAUUCGUUCGUUCGUUCGUACGUUCGUUCGUUCGUUCGUUCGUUCGUUCGUUCGUUCGUUCGUUCGUUCGUUCGUUCGUUCGUUCGUUCGUUCGUUCGUUCGUUCGUUCGUUCGUUCGUUCGUUCAUUCGUUCGUUCGUUCGUUCGUACGUUCGUUCGUUCGUUCGUUUAUCGUUUUCAUGCGCUGGGCUAGAUGCACAAUGCGUUUUAAUUCGGUCGGACCUUAUUCGACAGCUUUAGUCGUUUCUGGAUCAGCCUCCUUCGGGGCUGGCCGUCGUCGGCCGUGCUACGUCCCCGGACACGAGGCUCAGUGCUAUAUGUCGGAGGCCUUUUGAGGGGUUUGAUAAGUGAUGGUAGUGAAUAUAUAGUGGCGGUGAUGGUGUUCAAAAAUACAGCACACGCUUUCUAGGUUCUCGAUCGCAAGAUCGGAUCCGCAAUUUAUGGACUAAGACCUAGGGUAGUACCAUUUUCACUUCGGAUAGCGAGCUGAUGCUCAAGACGUACAUGGUGACGCCCACCUCGACGGGAGGACCUGAAAGCGAAGGGCACGGCUUAAGAGGGAAUCAUGCCCGUGAAAGUACCGACGCUUUUCAAGCCCAACCACUUCCGGUAUUUAGCUAAGCGACGACAACGACAACGUCGACGACAAGGAGGAGUAGAAGAAAACCGUUCGUAUUAGAUGAUUUAGGUAUAGCGAUGAAACUUUAGCUGAAACUAUAUCGUUGUGUUUCGUCGUAUGAUACUCUCGCUUUCUAUUUCUUUCUUUUUCUUUUCUUUGUCUUUAAGUUAAUUAUGUUUUAGUAAUUUUAUCGGAUAUUUUGCCAGUACGUGCUCAUU